RNAcentral lists this ribosomal RNA (253 nucleotides) under uncultured bacterium. RNAcentral describes it as "partial 16S ribosomal RNA". It matches the Rfam family "Bacterial small subunit ribosomal RNA", at positions 524 to 776 of the family's 1533-position model. The record is from RNAcentral.
GACGAAGGGGGCUAGCGUUGUUCGGAAUUACUGGGCGUAAAGCGCGCGUAGGCGGUCCAUCGCGUCGGGAGUGAAAAGCUGGGGCUCAACCCCAGUCCUGCUUCCGAUACGGGUGGACUAGAGGUAGGCAGGGGAGAACGGAAUUCCUGGUGUAGCGGUGAAAUGCGCAGAUAUCAGGAGGAACACCGGUGGCGAAGGCGGGUCUCUGGGCCGAUACUGACGCUGAGGAGCGAAAGCGUGGGGAGCGAACAGG